AGUGAACGCUGGCGGCAGGCCUAACACAUGCAAGUCGAACGGCAGCACAGAGGAGCUUGCUCCUUGGGUGGCGAGUGGCGGACGGGUGAGGAAUACAUCGGAAUCUGCCUAUUUGUGGGGGAUAACGUAGGGAAACUUGCGCUAAUACCGCAUACGACCUACGGGUGAAAGCGGAGGACCUUCGGGCUUCGCGCAGAUAGAUGAGCCGAUGUCGGAUUAGCUAGUUGGCGGGGUAAAGGCCCACCAAGGCGACGAUCCGUAGCUGGUCUGAGAGGAUGAUCAGCCACACUGGAACUGAGACACGGUCCAGACUCCUACGGGAGGCAGCAGUGGGGAAUAUUGGACAAUGGGCGCAAGCCUGAUCCAGCCAUGCCGCGUGGGUGAAGAAGGCCUUCGGGUUGUAAAGCCCUUUUGUUGGGAAAGAAAAGCAGUCGGUUAAUACCCGAUUGUUCUGACGGUACCCAAAGAAUAAGCACCGGCUAACUUCGUGCCAGCAGCCGCGGUAAUACGAAGGGUGCAAGCGUUACUCGGAAUUACUGGGCGUAAAGCGUGCGUAGGUGGUUUGUUAAGUCUGAUGUGAAAGCCCUGGGCUCAACCUGGGAAUUGCAUUGGAUACUGGCAGGCUAGAGUGCGGUAGAGGGUAGUGGAAUUCCCGGUGUAGCAGUGAAAUGCGUAGAGAUCGGGAGGAACAUCCGUGGCGAAGGCGACUACCUGGACCAGCACUGACACUGAGGCACGAAAGCGUGGGGAGCAAACAGGAUUAGAUACCCUGGUAGUCCACGCCCUAAACGAUGCGAACUGGAUGUUGGGUUCAACUAGGAACUCAGUAUCGAAGCUAACGCGUUAAGUUCGCCGCCUGGGGAGUACGGUCGCAAGACUGAAACUCAAAGGAAUUGACGGGGGCCCGCACAAGCGGUGGAGUAUGUGGUUUAAUUCGAUGCAACGCGAAGAACCUUACCUGGCCUUGACAUGCACGGAACUUUCCAGAGAUGGAUUGGUGCCUUCGGGAACCGUGACACAGGUGCUGCAUGGCUGUCGUCAGCUCGUGUCGUAAGAUGUUGGGUUAAGUCCCGCAACGAGCGCAACCCUUGUCCUUAGUUGCCAGCACGUAAUGGUGGGAACUCUAAGGAGACCGCCGGUGACAAACCGGAGGAAGGUGGGGAUGACGUCAAGUCAUCAUGGCCCUUACGGCCAGGGCUACACACGUACUACAAUGGGAAGGACAGAGGGCUGCGAACCCGCGAGGGCAAGCCAAUCCCAGAAACCUUCUCUCAGUCCGGAUCGGAGUCUGCAACUCGACUCCGUGAAGUCGGAAUCGCUAGUAAUCGCAGAUCAGCAUUGCUGCGGUGAAUACGUUCCCGGGCCU
RNAcentral lists this ribosomal RNA (1366 nucleotides) under uncultured bacterium. RNAcentral's name for it is "bacterial SSU rRNA". It matches the Rfam family "Bacterial small subunit ribosomal RNA", at positions 28 to 1381 of the family's 1533-position model. The record is from RNAcentral.